This 253-nucleotide ribosomal RNA is filed under the name uncultured bacterium. Its description in RNAcentral is "partial 16S ribosomal RNA". It matches the Rfam family "Bacterial small subunit ribosomal RNA", at positions 524 to 776 of the family's 1533-position model. The record is from RNAcentral.
AACGUAGGGGGCAAGCGUUGUCCGGAAUCAUUGGGCGUAAAGAGCGUGUAGGCGGCUCGAUAAGUCUGGAGUGAAAUCUUCCGGCUUAACUGGAAGCAGUCACUGGAAACUGUCGGGAUUGAGUCCGGAAGAGGAGUGAGGAAUUCCUGGUGUAGAGGUGGAAUGCGCAGAUAUCAGGAGGAACACCAAUGGCGAAAGCAGCACUCUGGUACGUUACUGACGCUGAGACGCGAAAGCGUGGGGCGCACAUAGG